This 269-nucleotide ribosomal RNA is filed under the name uncultured archaeon. Its description in RNAcentral is "partial 16S ribosomal RNA". It matches the Rfam family "Archaeal small subunit ribosomal RNA", at positions 748 to 1020 of the family's 1478-position model. The record is from RNAcentral.
CAGCCGUAAACUAUGCGCGUUAGGUGUAUCGGUGACCACGAGUCACCGAGGUGCCGAAGGGAAACCGUGAAACGUGCCGCCUGGGAAGUACGGUCGCAAGGCUGAAACUUAAAGGAAUUAGCGGGGGAGCACCACAACGGGUGGAGCCUGCGGUUUAAUUGGACUCAACGCCGGGAAGCUCACCGGAUAAGACAGCGGAAUGAUUGCCGGGCUGAAGACUCUGCAUGACUAGCUGAGAGGAGGUAGUCGACUAGGUCGGGUACGGUAAC